Molecule: long non-coding RNA, 1548 nt
Filed under: Bemisia tabaci
Lineage: Eukaryota; Metazoa; Arthropoda; Insecta; Hemiptera; Aleyrodidae
Description: lncRNA ENSSSA1NGG000141
Source: RNAcentral
GUGGCGGCUCAGUCCAAUUCAGUAGCUUGUGAUUUUCAGGAAUCUAAUUUUCUGUCAAGUUCUGUGGUCCCUCGCCCCGCUAGAAAAGGCGCUUGAGAUUUUGAAACUCUAUUUUUUUUGUGGUCAAAGUCGGUAAUUGCCUGAAUUUCAUAAUGUGUGGAGUUACUAUUUUGUGUUAUGUGUCAGUUGGCAUUGUAUGAGUUUUCGGUAGCCCUUUUUCCCGUGAUACGAGAUAUUUUGUUUGAAGAUGUUGUUCUGGAAACCGUUUGCUCCUACAGAUACCCCUCGGUGUCGAUUUGUAAUUAUUUUGUGGCCUCUCCAACAUUCGUCAAGGCGGUGUGCGAAGACUGAGAAUUUUCACUUUGCAUCAGAGCUGUUCCUGAAUUUACGGAUCAUCGCUUCAUCACGGUAAAAUCUCUCCAACUUCUUACUGCUCUCAGAAUUAAUUGCGAAUGAGUCGACCAUUUGUCUAUUCUCUAAAUUUUUCAAAGUGAGCUGGCACAGUAUUCUUCCUCACCACCGAUACCAGCAGUCGCCAUUUGAGCGGAUUUUAGUCAAAUAUCAGUCUAACUUCACUCCGCAUUGCCUAUAAUUGGACGUAUUUCUGCCAAACGGAACUAAGUGCAUUAUGACGUGAGCCCUGUUACGCACAUAUUCUUAUGGGUCUCAAGGCUCAUGUCUCAAUGCACAUAGUUCUAUUUGGCAGAAAUACGUCCAAUUGUAUCUCUCAGUUCGAAAACUACCAAGCUCGGCACGGUGCUCCUGAAGGGGGUUUAAAUCGAAGUUGCGGUCAUGAACGAAAAAUUUGAGCUGAAGUGUCAAGAGGAGGUCUCCCAGAUACGAGCUCCUAGAGAAAUAAUCGCGAUUUUAUGGGGUUUUUAGGCUUUUUUGGGGAAAAAAGGCUCAUGUAGGGCAAUGAAAUUCUCCCCUGCCCCAUUUCUUUUUGGAUUCAUCUGAAUUUUUUGUACAUUAUUCACCGGUAUGAGGCACGACUUUCCUGAAAUUUUCAUGACCGAGAAAAUUCUUUUGCUCCCGUUGCAACGUUGCAAAGUUUCACGCUUCAUAAUUAUGGAUUUUGCGAAAAAAUUGUGACAUUGGCCCCUCUGCUUCUGGGAUUGGUCUGAAUGUUUAGUGUGUUUUUCUCCGAUAUGAGAUAUGUAAAUAUUGAAAUUUGCAUGACUGGGAAAUUAUUUUACCUCUCGUUGCAACGAUGCCAAGUUUUAAACUUAAAAAUUUAGGGUUUGGAGGUAGCACGAUGGAAUGGACCCAUUUCUCGGUGAAUUGAUCUGCAUUUUUAGUAUUUAAUUCUCCCGUUUGAAGCACAACUUUCCUAUAAUUAUCAUGACCGAGAAAAUUGUUUUGCUUCGGUUACGACGUUGCAAAGUUUCAAACAUCAAAAUUAAGGAUUUGACCAUAAAUGAUGGCGUUUUGGGCGGGAUAUUUUACAGAAUUUUCUUUAUUCAUGAGUAAUUAUACCAAAUAUUUUACUAAUUUAUCCAUUCAAAACUGUAAGAUUGCCUUGUUGCCUUUUUAAUAAUUUUUUUCCGG